AACGCACAUUGCGCUCUCUGGUAUUCCGGAGAGCAUGCCUGUUUGAGUAUCAGUUAACUAUUCUCAAGCUACACUCUUUUCGAAGGGCGUAGCAUGGAAUUGAGUUAUCCCGGUACGAGUGUUUCGGCACUGCAACUGGGAGACUUGAAACUGAUAUCGCGGGAGUAGUGGUCAUUAAGGAUCAGCUCUUUGUAGGUGUACUAGUUGGAGGCGUCGCAAGACGUUUUCAUUCUUAACACCAUUUACGCAAAGUUCGGAUCUGACAGCUGCAACCAACGAACGCAGGAACGCGAGUCUUCGGACUUCAACUUCUUGAUCUCAAAUCAGGUAGGAUUACCCGCUGAACUUAA
This 350-nucleotide unclassified non-coding RNA is filed under the name uncultured Basidiobolales. Its description in RNAcentral is "sequence contains 5.8S rRNA gene, ITS2, 28S rRNA gene". The stretch from base 1 to 52 matches the Rfam family "5.8S ribosomal RNA", at positions 103 to 154 of the family's 154-position model. Lineage: Eukaryota; Fungi; Basidiobolomycota; Basidiobolomycetes. The record is from RNAcentral.